Molecule: ribosomal RNA, 512 nt
Filed under: uncultured Glomus
Lineage: Eukaryota; Fungi; Glomeromycota; Glomeromycetes; Glomerales; Glomeraceae
Description: SSU rRNA
Rfam family: Eukaryotic small subunit ribosomal RNA
Source: RNAcentral
AGCAGCCGCGGUAAUUCCAGCUCCAAUAGCGUAUAUUAAAGUUGUUGCAGUUAAAAAGCUCGUAGUUGAAUUUCGGGAUCAGUACGCUGGUCGUGCCUUCGGUAUGCACUGGUUUCACUGAUUCCUCCCUUCUGAAGAACCGUAAUGCCAUUCAGUUGGUGUGGCGGGGAAUCAGGAUUGUUACUUUGAAAAAUUAGAGUGUUUAAAGCAGGCUCGCGCUUGAAUACAUUAGCAUGGAAUAAUGAAAUAGGACGUUUGAUCCUAUUUUGUUGGUUUCUAGGAUUGACGUAAUGAUUAAUAGGGAUAGUUGGGGGCAUUAGUAUUCAAUUGUCAGAGGUGAAAUUCUUGGAUUUAUUGAAGACUAACUACUGCGAAAGCAUUUGCCAAGGAUGUUUUCAUUAAUCAAGAACGAAAGUUAGGGGAUCGAAGACGAUCAGAUACCGUCGUAGUCUUAACCAUAAACUAUGCCGACUAGGGAUCGGAUGAUGUUAAUUUUUAAUGACUCAUUCGCG